UGCUGAUCUGCGAUUACUAGCGAUUCCGACUUCAUGCACUCGAGUUGCAGAGUGCAAUCCGGACUACGAUAAGGUUUUACGGAUUGGCUUCUCCUCGCGGAUGCGCUUCCCUUUGUUACUUACCAUUGUAUGACGUGUGAAGCCCUGCUCAUAAGGGCCAUGAGGACUUGACGUCAUCCCCACCUUCCUCCGAAUUAGCUUCGGCAGUCUCACUAAAGUGCCCUACUUAAAGAUGGCAACUAGUGACAAGGGUUGCGCUCGUUGCGUCACUUAAGACAACAUCUCACGACACGAGCUGACGACAGCCAUGCAGCACCUGUGUCUAGGUUCCCGAAAGAACAGCCUAAUCUCUUAGGCCUCCCUAGCAUGUCAAGAGCA
This 378-nucleotide ribosomal RNA is filed under the name uncultured Pseudomonadota bacterium. Its description in RNAcentral is "uncultured proteobacterium partial 16S ribosomal RNA". The record is from RNAcentral. Lineage: Bacteria; Pseudomonadati; Pseudomonadota.